RNAcentral lists this ribosomal RNA (468 nucleotides) under uncultured bacterium. Its description in RNAcentral is "partial 16S ribosomal RNA". It matches the Rfam family "Bacterial small subunit ribosomal RNA", at positions 28 to 507 of the family's 1533-position model. The record is from RNAcentral.
GACGAACGCUGGCGGCGUGCUUAACACAUGCAAGUCGAACGGUGAAGCUCCAGCUUGCUGGAGUGGAUCAGUGGCGAACGGGUGAGCAACACGUGGGCAACCUGCCCCUGACUCUGGAAUAAGCGCUGGAAACGGCGUCUAAUACUGGAUACGAGAAGGGUCCGCAUGGGCACUUUCUGGAAAGUUUUUCGGUUGGGGAUGGGCUCGCGGCCUAUCAGCUUGUUGGUGAGGUAAUGGCUCACCAAGGCGACGACGGGUAGCCGGCCUGAGAGGGCGACCGGCCACACUGGGACUGAGACACGGCCCAGACUCCUACGGGAGGCAGCAGUGGGGAAUAUUGCACAAUGGGCGAAAGCCUGAUGCAGCGACGCCGCGUGAGGGAUGACGGCCUUCGGGUUGUAAACCCCUUUCAGCAGGGAAGAAGCGAAAGUGACGGUACCUGCAGAAGAAGCACCGGCUAACUACGUG